This 713-nucleotide long non-coding RNA is filed under the name Pan paniscus (pygmy chimpanzee). Its description in RNAcentral is "lncRNA (ENSPPAG00000044464.1)". Lineage: Eukaryota; Metazoa; Chordata; Mammalia; Primates; Hominidae. The record is from RNAcentral.
GUACUUAUUAGGUAUUUGUCUAUUUUAUUUAUCUAUUCAGGUCACUUUUCAAUAGUUAAAAAUCCAUUAAUUUUACUGUUUAGCUGAAUUAAUUGCAUUCUCCUACUUUUAUGUUUCAUAUUUUUGUGCUUAAUUUGUUUCAAUCUUUUAUUUUUCUUGUUAAAAGGAAUCCAUUAUUAUUUGCAUUAUCAUUGACGACUGUGAGAAUCUGCAGAAAAAAACAGUAUGGAACUACAACUUCAUGUUCUUGAGAAAAGCUUGCAGUGUAAGAUGCGUUUGUUUGUGGUGCCUGAGGAAGAGAGAAUACUGGAGGAACAUUAAAAGUCAGAGAGAUGUGCUCCUGUUCAUCUGGAAGAAAGCAAAGAAUCAUGCUCUGAACUCCUUUUUGGGGCAUGUGGCCAGGAACUGAGCGUGACCUCUAGAAGUUGAAUGUGGUUUCUAUUCAGAAGUCAGUAAGAAUAUGGAUGCCUUAGUCAUACAACUUCAGGGAAAUGAAUUUUGUCAACAAUUAAUGAGUUUGGGUAGUACGCUGAGGCUCCAAUAUGAAUUGGGAGCCCAGAUGAUUUUUAGCCGGGGGUCCUGAGCACUUUGUUACCUUGUACCAUAACUCCUGUACCAUGGAAACUGUGAAAUAAAUUUCUGUCAUUUUAAACCACUAACUUGUGGUAAUUUGUUAUUCAAAAACAGGAAACUAAUGAAAUCACUGUUAUGCG